RNAcentral lists this ribosomal RNA (250 nucleotides) under uncultured bacterium. Its description in RNAcentral is "partial 16S ribosomal RNA". It matches the Rfam family "Bacterial small subunit ribosomal RNA", at positions 524 to 773 of the family's 1533-position model. The record is from RNAcentral.
UACGGAGGGUGCAAGCGUUGCUCGGAAUUACUGGGCGUAGAGCGCGUGUAGGUGGCUAUAGAAGUCUGGUGUGAAAGCCCUCGGCUCAACCGGGGAAGUGCGCCAGAAACCAUAUAGCUAGAGGUCCGGAGGGGAACGUGGAAUUCCCAGUGUAGAGGUGAAAUUCGUAGAUAUUGGGAGGAACACCGGUGGCGAAGGCGACGUUCUGGACGGAUUCUGACACUAAAACGCGAAAGCGUGGGGAUCAAAC